RNAcentral lists this ribosomal RNA (234 nucleotides) under uncultured bacterium. RNAcentral's name for it is "partial 16S ribosomal RNA". It matches the Rfam family "Bacterial small subunit ribosomal RNA", at positions 15 to 244 of the family's 1533-position model. The record is from RNAcentral.
GAUCCUGGCUCAGGACGAACGCUGGCGGCGCGCCUAACACAUGCAAGUCGAACGAGAGAGAGGAAGCUUGCUUCCUCAAUCGAGUGGCGAACGGGUGAGUAACGCGUGAGGAACCUGCCUCAAAGAGGGGGACAACAGUUGGAAACGACUGCUAAUACCGCAUAAGCCCACGGCUCGGCAUCGAGCAGAGGGAAAAGGAGUAAUCCGCUUUGAGAUGGCCUCGCGUCCGAUUAG